Molecule: long non-coding RNA, 582 nt
Filed under: Sus scrofa (pig)
Lineage: Eukaryota; Metazoa; Chordata; Mammalia; Artiodactyla; Suidae
Description: lncRNA (ENSSSCG00055027792.1)
Source: RNAcentral
AUGACCUGCAGGGCCUCUGAGCCGCUCGGAGUCUCCCUUCCCAUCCGGGAUUGCCCUUGUCACACCUGUGCCAGCUCCAGCUCCAGCAUGGCUGCCAGACACAGAGAGCAGACACUGCCGCAAAGGUGCCUCGGGUUCACGGGGGAGAGAUGCCUGUCUGGUCUCUGCCAGCACCAGAAGGAAGACACAUCGGUCAGAGUAGGAGUUCAGCUAAGGACAGACCAGACCUUGGCCUGCUCUAGCUCCCAGGCGAGGCCUUCUUGGGGUUCUCCAGUAUUGGGAGCAAGUCAGAGCCUGGCUCUGGUGCCCAAGAGUGUGCCUGGUGCCCAGUGGGAGCUAUAGUUCUUAUUAUUUUGGGCACAGGGCUUCAUUCAGAAAGUGGAUGCGUGUAAUUAUAGCAAAGUUAUGAAUACUGUGAUCCUUUUCAUUUCUGUAACUAUGACUUCCAGACACCUGCUCCAUUCAAGAGAAAAAAAAAAAAUAGGUUUAGUUUGAAAAGUGCUUCUUCUGAAACGUGCAGUACCGAAUCUCUUCCGCUGAGGACGCGCCCCGAGGGAGGGCAGCGGCCGGGAGGGAAGGUGG